RNAcentral lists this ribosomal RNA (362 nucleotides) under Pseudomonas sp. Its description in RNAcentral is "bacterial SSU rRNA". It matches the Rfam family "Bacterial small subunit ribosomal RNA", at positions 1026 to 1388 of the family's 1533-position model. The record is from RNAcentral. Lineage: Bacteria; Pseudomonadati; Pseudomonadota; Gammaproteobacteria; Pseudomonadales; Pseudomonadaceae.
AGUCAGACACAGGUUGUGCAUGGGUGUCGUCAGCUCGUGUCGUGAGAUGUUGGGUUAAGUCCCGUAACGAGCGCAACCCUUGUCCUUAGUUACCAGCCCCUCGGGUGGGCACUCUAAGGAGACUGCCGGUGACAAACCGGAGGAAGGUGGGGAUGACGUCAAGUCAUCAUGGCCCUUACGGCCAGGGCUACACACGUGCUACAAUGGUCGGUACAAAGGGUUGCCAAGCCGCGAGGUGGAGCUAAUCCCAUAAAACCGAUCGUAGUCCGGAUCGCAGUCUGCAACUCGACUGCGUGAAGUCGGAAUCGUUAGUAAUCGUGAAUCAGAAUGUCACGGUGAAUACGUUCCCGGGCCUUGUACAC